AUUGUUGCAGAUAAUUGGCAACAAUGAGUAGGAGGGCGUGGGGGUUGUGAAGAAGCUUGGACGUGAGUCUGAGUGAAACAGCUUCCAGUGCAGAUCUUGGUGGUAGUAGCAAGUAUUCAAUAAGAGAACAUUGAAGGCCGAAGUGGGGAAGGGUUCCAUGUGAACAGCACUUGGACAUGGGUUAGCCGAUCCUGAGAGACAGGUUAAAUUCCAUCGGAUUGGAGCUUUGGCUCUGUUUCUCGAAAGGGAAGCUGGUUAGUAUUCCAGCGCCGAGACGUGGAUAAUAUGUGGCAACACAAGUGAACUCGGACACGCCAUAGGGGACCCCAGGAAGCGUUGUCUUUUCUUUUUAACAGUUCGACUUACCCUGGAAUCAGAUCAUCUGGAGAUAGGGUUUUCGAACUGGAAUAGCACCUUGUCUAACAGGGUGUCUGGAGUGUUCUCGCUGGCCCUUGAAAAUCCGAGGGAUAGAUUUAUUCGCACUCUCGAUCGUACCCAUAACCGCAUCAGGUCUCCAAGGUUAGAAGCCUCUGGUCCGUAGGACAAAGUAGAUAAGGGAAGUCGGCAAAAUAGGUCCGUAACUUCGGGAAAAGGACUGGCUCUGAGGUUUGGUAUGUGGAACCUGGAUUAAUCGUUGGAGUCGAGCAGAGACUACUUGUUGCUCACGUGACUUGUGGACUCCUUGCUUGAUACCUUCAAUUGAUCCAGGCUGCUUCGGCGCUCUGCAUGCACUUAACAAACAGCUCAGAACUGGAGCGGACAAGGGGAAUCCGACUGUUUAAUCAAACAAAGCAUUGUGAUGGCCUCAAAAGUGUUGACACAAUGUGAUUUCUGCCCAGUGCUCUGAAUGUCAAGUGAUGAAUUCAACAGCGCGGGUAACGCGGGAGUACUAUGACUCUCUAGUAGCAAUGCUCGUCAUCUACUAGUGACGCGCAUGAUGAUACGAGAUCCACUGUCCUAUCUACUGUCUAGCGA
Molecule: non-coding RNA, 975 nt
Filed under: Perkinsus marinus ATCC 50983
Lineage: Eukaryota; Perkinsozoa; Perkinsida; Perkinsidae
Description: Eukaryotic large subunit ribosomal RNA
Rfam family: Eukaryotic large subunit ribosomal RNA
Source: Rfam by way of RNAcentral